GACGAACGCUGGCGGCGUGCUUAACACAUGCAAGUCGAACGGAAAGGCCCUUCGGGGUACUCGAGUGGCGAACGGGUGAGUAACACGUGGGUGAUCUGCCCUGCACUUUGGGAUAAGCCUGGGAAACUGGGUCUAAUACCGGAUAGGACUACGCGAUGCAUGUCGUGUGGUGGAAAGCUUUUGCGGUGUGGGAUGGGCCCGCGGCCUAUCAGCUUGUUGGUGAGGUUAUGGCUUACCAAGGCGACGACGGGUAGCCGGCCUGAGAGGGUGACCGGCCACACUGGGACUGAGAUACGGCCCAGACUCCUACGGGAGGCAGCAGUGGGGAAUAUUGCACAAUGGGCGCAAGCCUGAUGCAGCGACGCCGCGUGAGGGAUGACGGCCUUCGGGUUGUAAACCUCUUUCAGCAGGGACGAAGCGCAAGUGACGGUACCUGUAGAAGAAGGACCGGCCAACUACGUGCCAGCCGCCGCCGUAACAC
Molecule: ribosomal RNA, 481 nt
Filed under: uncultured bacterium
Lineage: Bacteria
Description: bacterial SSU rRNA
Rfam family: Bacterial small subunit ribosomal RNA
Source: RNAcentral